Molecule: long non-coding RNA, 3736 nt
Organism: Passer domesticus (house sparrow)
Lineage: Eukaryota; Metazoa; Chordata; Aves; Passeriformes; Passeridae
Exons: 2
Source: RefSeq, a predicted model, not a curated record
CGUGCCCGGGCCCCCUGGCGACCGUCUCCUCUUGGGCUCCGUUAGUUGAGGUAGUGCGAUAGCGGAAAGAACAAACGUUUCAUUGCUUGUCAUCGGUACCGCCAGAGUUAAAACCAAGACGGCAAUGCCCAGGGAAAGAAUGAAUGUUGGGAUGUGCGUUCGGCAAAUCUUUGCUCUGUGAACAAACUGCCUUCACAGGAAUGUCAGUGAAUGAGGUCUGCUCUCAUAUGAUAUCAAAAAGCUAAAUCAUAGCUUGGGGACCUGGGCUCUUCCCUCAAGCUGUAACAGCCGAGGGUUUAUUGAUGGCAAUGCCCAGUUCGUCACAUGUUUGUAAGAGGAACACCUCCCUGAGAGCAUUUCUGUGUUCAGAGAAGACCCCCGUGUGGGUGACCUAUUCUGAAAGUGCACAGGUUAGAAAAUUUCCCAAGAUUUUGUGGUGACUGACAGCGUGCACCAGCUGCGAACAGUGAGGCAGUGGGAGCUGGUUGUGGCGGGGUGGGACAGGGAAUGUCUGGCUUUUCACCUCAGUCAAGGAAGUUGGGAGGUUUCUGUGGUGACACCAAUCUGAUUUUCUUUGUCUUCACAAUGAAAAGUAUGACCUAACAACUGGUAAGCCUUUUGAGAAAAUCCGUGGAUUAUUCUUAGAAAGCUGAUAAUUGUAAGUGAUUUUACUUUAUACUGCUGCUUUAUUCUGCUGCUUUUAUAGAAAGGCUUACUGAUUUUCAGAGGCUGAGGCUUGUUUCCUAAGUGGAUCUACUGCUCUGUUUCUGAACGAGCUGCCUCACUAACCACUUCUAAAAUGUCCUUUUAUUGAAUUACUAUGUGACAAGAAAGUUUACAAGAAGAGUUACUUUUUGAACUGUAUGAACAGUACUACUCUUCUCCUUUUAAAGACUACGAAAUAUAUGCAAAGACUGGAAACAAAGUUUCAGGUAUUCAAAAGUAACCUGAUGUAUUAGGUGUUUCUUCACGCUACCCUAAUUGAUUGCUUCCCAGCUUUGUUUCUUAGUAACUCGUGUAUAGUCUAGUAAGUACCUCUGAAAGUCUCUACAUGUUAGCCUUGUACAGGCGUUAUAAUAUAUUUUGGGAAAGUUUUCUAUGAUAGUCUAUGUCUUUUGUAAAAGCUAAAAAAAAUUAGUUUCAACACCAUUUUAAAAAGUACAAAAGUUAAGAAAUGUGAAUGAAUGGUGUUUCUAACUCAAUAGAGUUUCAAUAACCUAAUGAAAUUUAGUCUUAAUUAACCUUUACAGAAAAACCACACAAUCUGUUAAGUGAAUGACACUUUGAAGGAUAACACUGCCCUUGCUUUCUUUGGCUGUGGUAAGUGUUGCUUUGCUCUGAAUAUGUGUAUGAUCUUUGUGGUAUUGUGAGGAAGAUAGAAAUGCCAGCCAGCCCUCUUUACUGAUUAGUGAGCAACAGAGCAUGCUGGCUAUGGGAUCAUGGAAACAAAUACUAGAAUUCAAUUAACUCUAAUAAUCUUCAACUGAUCAGUAGCUGCAGGAUUUUUUAAUUUUUUAAAUUUUUUUUUUAUUUUAAUAAUCUGGCCAGUUUAGAGGGCUUUGCCAGGGAAAAUGCUGGAUAUUUGUGCCUGUGUGUACUCUGCCUGCUGAUAGGAAUAUUUUGUUCUGUAAUUGUUCUUUAAGCCAAGAGGAACAGCUAAGUUACUAUGCCGAUUUAACAGGUAAUAAGAAGGAAAAACCUAACAGAAAACCACCAGAAAUCUCUCCUUAGGAGAGGCAGUCAACAAACCAUUAAAGCUGUGAAAAGCAGAGGAACCUUAAAGCAUUUUGUGUUGCUAUCCAGUUUCACCUCGGGUGUAUUUUGAACAAGACUGAAAGAGCUGGCACUGGAGAACCAUGGAGGGAAAUCUCAGCUUCAUCCCAGCGAAACCUUUUGCAGCAAAGACGUCAAUGAACGGCCACAUCUCACUGUGGCUGAGAAUGGCAGGAUAUUGUCUGUUACACCUCACAGUUCCAGCACCGAUCCUGGUUUGUCAGCUCGAUCCCUGAGGGCAGCACUGUGCCCUUGCCUUUGCGUGGGGCUGCUCCCAGGAGGAACAGGCGCCUUUGUUCCUGGGCAGCUGUGCUGCCAGGGGCUUCUGGCACAGCAGACCCCAACGCUCAGCUGCCUGCCCAAGCAGGGACCUUAAAAAUGUCAGUCUGAGGGGACCUUGCCCUGAGAGAUGACAUUAAAAUUAUACACUUGCCUUUUUCUCGAGAUGCUUGGCAUUAAUUUCAUAGGUGCCUCUUUGUGGCAUCCCUGCCAGAAUGCACUUCCUGGUGCAGGUCAGAGCCCUGUGGGCAGCUCAGCCUGGUUCUUGGUGGGCACGUGGGGUUGUGGGUGCUGGUGAUGAAGGAGGAUGGUGGCUGUGCAGCAGCAGCACAGCCCCUUCCUGCCACAUGAGACUGAAUUCAUGCCCUAUGGAUUAAAGGGCAAGGGGGUGCAGCCAAGAAAUCUGUGCUAGUAAUUUAAUUUAGAAUUGUAUUCCUCGACCACUGUAGAGAAUUUAAUUUUUCUCAUUUGUCCCGGGACAAAUUCUUUCCCUAAAUCCAUAUAAAGAACGCUGAUUUACUGAUUCUUUUCCCAGGGUGUGCAUAAUAAUUUACUUUCCUUUUCAAAGUUUUGAGUGUUUUACUACUGGUGAAGGAUUAAGCAGGUGGCUGUUUACGACACAAGUUUUCAACAUGCCCACAUCCAUAGCAGAACACUGGAGUGUAGAACAGCAGUGAGCCAGAAACCUGUUGGAAAAGACAGCAGUGACAAAGGUUGCUCACAUUAACUGCCAAAAACUGCUCUUUCUUUAUUUUCUUCCUAUUUUUUUUUCAGGCUGAGUGCCUGCCUGCUACACUGCGGUUUUUGCAUGAGGGUGAAGAGAGGACUCUUCUCUGUUUGUGGUAGUGUUGGCUUAUUUAGGUUGUGUAUUUUGUCCUUCCUGUUGUUAAUAUAGUUUCAAAAUGAGCAAGUCAGAGGGCAUGUAGGUUCUAAUUAGUAGUUAUCUGAGGCAACUCUUAGAGCAGAAAACUCAUUGAAAUUGUUUUGGAUUUGAACAUACUGUAUCUACUUGAGUGACAAAACGCUAGAAAGCAAAAAAGCCAAAGUUCUUUGUCGGAAGGCAAUUGCUGCAUAGCAACUGCAUAGAGGGGAUGCAGUGAAGCUUGCAUGUAUUCUCCUUUGUUGCUAUUUUUGUCCUUAUUUUCUUCAUGUUCUGAAAUGUACAGAAAUUCUUUAAGUUGUUGGAAUGAGUUUCAUUCAUUGCUACUUAUCCUCUAAAAAAGAGAGAAGCAAAUAACGGCAAUUUCAGUUUUGUAUUUUGGGAAGAAAAAAUGAAAUUUAAUAUGCUAUUCGUGAAGGGAUGCUGUGACUGAGAUUUGAAAUGAAUGUGAUCUUUGAUAUAUGGAAAGCAAGGUUAAAGAAAUGUAAAGAUUCUCCAUGAUAGCAGAUAUUUUCCCCCUGUCUCACUCCAUUUUUGUAUCUAUCUACACAAAUUUCUGUUUUUCUAAAAUAUGACCAACCUUACAAAACCAAAACUUACAAGAGUUAUUAAAACAUAAUUCAACUUUGAACUUAAUGGGGUCCAUGAACAGCAACUGGGAAACAGUUACUUGGAAGAAUAACCUGUUUGUUGUAUAUUGUUAAAUAAAACAGUGGGCUGGGUGUCUUAGCAAAGGGAAAUUUGGAGAGUAAUGGGAUUGUAAAGUGUUUCUUAAUUGCUAAUAAACUUGUGAGUAAGGCUUUC